CAGUCGCCGCGGUAAUACGUAGGGUGCGAGCGUUAAUCGGAAUUACUGGGCGUAAAGCGUGCGCAGGCGGUUGUGUAAGACAGGUGUGAAAUCCCCGGGCUUAACCUGGGAACUGCGCUUGUGACUGCACAGCUAGAGUAUGGCAGAGGGGGGUGGAAUUCCACGUGUAGCAGUGAAAUGCGUAGAGAUGUGGAGGAACACCGAUGGCGAAGGCAGCCCCCUGGCCCAAUACUGACGCUCAUGCACGAAAGCGUGGGGAGCAAACAGGAUUAGAUACCCCUGUAGUCCCUGUCUCUUAUAC
Molecule: ribosomal RNA, 301 nt
Filed under: uncultured bacterium
Lineage: Bacteria
Description: partial 16S ribosomal RNA
Rfam family: Bacterial small subunit ribosomal RNA
Source: RNAcentral